AGAGUUUGAUCCUGGCUCAGGGUGAACGCUGGCGGUGUGCAUUAAGCAUGCAAGUGGAACGGUCCCGUUUCGGCGGGACAGUCGCGAACGGCUGAGUAACGCGUAGGAAUCUACCUCUUGGUGGGGAAUAGCCCCGCGAAAGCGGGGUUAAUACCGCAUAAGAUCAGAUAUCGCAUCUGCGAUGUCUGAUGAAAGGAUGUAACUAUUCGCCGAGAGAGGAGCCUGCGUACCAUCAGUUUGUUGGUAGGGUAACGGCCUACCAAGACUAUGACGGUUAGGGGGCGUGAGAGCGUGGCCCCCCAGAAUGGCACUGAGACACGGGCCAUACACCUACGGGUGGCAGCAACUGGGAAUCGUGCGCAAUGGACGAAAGUCUGACGCCGCGACACCGCGUGAAGGAUGAAGGCCUUCGGGUCGUAAACUUCUUUUGCCAUAGGUGAGAGUCUAUGGCGAAUAAGCACCCGCUAACUUCAUGCCAGCAGCUGCGGUAAUACGGAGGGUGCAAGCGUCACCCGGAUUUAUUGGGCGUAAAGCGUUCGCAGGCGUCUUGGUAAGUUACAUUUCAAAGACUGGGGCUCAACCUCGGGAAGGGAUGUAAUACUGCCAGGAUAGAAAGAUCUCGGGGCUACUAGAACUACCGGUGUAGGGGUGAAAUCCGUUGAUAUCGGUAGGAAUUCCAAGGGCGAAGGCGGGUAGCUAGGGAUACUUUGACGCUCAGGGACGUAAGCUAGGGUAGCGAAAGGGAUUAGAGACCCCUGUAGUCCUAGCCGUAAACGAUGCUCGCUAGCCCCUGGUUCCGAUUUAUCGGAGUCAUGGGCGUAAGCUAACGCGUGAAGCGAGCCGCCUGGGGAGUACGCGCGCAAGCGUAAAACUCAAAGGAAUUGACGGGGACCUGCACAACCAGUGGAGCAUGUGGUUUAAUUCGAAACGAACCGAAGAACCUUACCCGGGUUUGACAUGUAAUUCUUAAUGCCGCCUAGAGAUAGGUUGGAAUGUCAACUUUGUUGACAGGGAUUACACAGGUGUUGCAUGGCCGUCGUCAGCUCGUGCCGUGGGGUGUUCCCUUAAGUGGGGUAACGAGCGCAACCCCUGUCCCGAGUUAAAUAUUCUCGGGAGACUGGUCCGAUUUUCGGACAGGAAGCGGGGACGACGUCAGGUCAGCAUGGCCCUUAUAUCCGGGGCUACACACAUGCUACAAUGGGGCCGACAAUGGGUUGCCAAGCGGAAACGUGGAGCUAAUCCCAUCAAACGGCCUCUCAGUGGGGAUUGAGGGCUGCAACUCGCCCUCAUGAACGUGGAAUUGGUAGUAAUCGCGGAUCAGCUAUGCCGCGGUGAAUACGUUCUCAGGUCUUGUACACACCGCCCGUCAAGUCAGCAAAGUUGGGGGCACCCGAAUCCCGCAUGUUGCGGGAGAAGGUGAAUCCAGCGAUGAGGAUUAAGUCGUAACAAGGUAACC
RNAcentral lists this ribosomal RNA (1456 nucleotides) under uncultured Microgenomates group bacterium. RNAcentral describes it as "uncultured Microgenomates bacterium 16S ribosomal RNA". It matches the Rfam family "Bacterial small subunit ribosomal RNA". The record is from RNAcentral.